Molecule: long non-coding RNA, 501 nt
Filed under: Bos taurus (domestic cattle)
Lineage: Eukaryota; Metazoa; Chordata; Mammalia; Artiodactyla; Bovidae
Description: long non-coding RNA NONBTAT030397
Source: RNAcentral
GAGCUUGCCCAUAGUAAAAGGAGAAAUAAAUUAACUUCAAAGCAAAUAUGCUUAGGCUUCUCUAGGCUGGAGAAUAUUUGAGCUCACUUACAGUUGAAAGAAAAAGAAGAGGCAAGAUUGAAGCUAGGGGAGAGGGAGAAGGAGAUAGACCCUGAAAGAUGAGGGGGUACACAGGGAUAAAGGCCCAAGGGACAUGAGGUGAGGAUGACAGAGGACCCAAAGGCAAUGCAAAAGAGAAGUGAUCACGGAGGCACAAUCACCUGCCACUCGGUGUGUGGAGAGCAGGGAGAAGAUUAAGGGGAUGGAGGAGAAUGGAAGAGGUUUACUUACAACAGCUGCUGUGGGGAAUUAGGAAAUCAAUUAACAAUAAGUGAAGGGAUUGUAAAGAGGCUCCAAGGGAGGGCCCAGCUGCCACAGAGGAACAGGAAUUGACCCCACUGUCAGUUAAUUUAUUAGCUACAGCUAAAGAGAAAUAUGUGGCCUGGAUCCGUCCAAUGCAUA